This 330-nucleotide ribosomal RNA is filed under the name uncultured eukaryote. Its description in RNAcentral is "partial 18S ribosomal RNA". It matches the Rfam family "Eukaryotic small subunit ribosomal RNA", at positions 1470 to 1796 of the family's 1831-position model. The record is from RNAcentral.
CCCUUAGAUGUUCGGGGCCGCACGCGCGCUACACUGAAGGAAUCAGCACGUCUUUCUCCUUGUCCGAAAGGACUGGGUAACCCGCUGAACCUCCUUCGUGCUAGGGAUUGGGGCUUGUAAUUCUUCCCCAUGAACGAGGAAUUCCCAGUAAGCGCGAGUCAUAAGCUCGCGUUGAUUACGUCCCUGCCCUUUGUACACACCGCCCGUCACUACUACCGAUUGGAUGGUUUAGUGAGAUCCUCGGAUUGGUCCCGGCGCGGCCUCUGGUCGUGCCGGAGUGCCGAAAAGAAUGUCGAACUUGAUCAUCUAGAGGAAGUAAAAGUCGUAACA